Molecule: long non-coding RNA, 975 nt
Organism: Otolemur garnettii (small-eared galago)
Lineage: Eukaryota; Metazoa; Chordata; Mammalia; Primates; Galagidae
Exons: 2
Source: RefSeq, a predicted model, not a curated record
UCGCGCCGCCGCCGCAUCUGCUGUCUGAGCGCGGGAGCCUGGGCCACCGCAGUGCUGCCGCCGCGCGCCUCGCCCCGGCCGGACCCGCUACACAGCCCCCCGCGCAUUUCCAACCCGGAAAGUACUUCCCGUCGCCGCUGCCCAUGGCUUCUCAUACAGAAGAUCUAAAUUCCGUGGAAACCUCUUUCUGCCUUCUGCAUUCACCUCCUUUAGGCGGGACAACGAGGCGCUUUCUGCGGGAACAAAACGGCUGUGGCAGCGGGGGAGGGGGCCGGAGCAGCCGCGGCCUCGCGGAUUAGGGCGGUGCGCGCGGGGCGAGCGUUAAUAGGGACUGCUGGUGUAAGACGAGCAAAUCCUGUUUCUAUAUAAAGCCUUGAAGUGUCAGGGCGAGAAUGGGUUUGCCGGGGAUGCAUUUGCUUUAACAAGUGCCUCUGGUAUCCUGCUAAAGCCGGACAAAGCGUGGCCAGAGCGCUCGGCCUCGAAGCCCGUCCGAGGAAAGCAGAACCUGGGCACUGGAAAGCCUGGGUGGCGCCUGGCGCGCUAGGGAUUUCGGUGCAGGCGAGUGAGCCCUGGGUUUGUCCUAGGAGGAUAGUGCUGGCAUUUGCCGGGAAUCCGGUUGCUGGCCUCUCAGAUCCCUCACCCCAGAGGGUCUUUCCUGGCAGAGCAGGUCCAAGCCUCCAGAGCAGUCAUCUUCGGUGGCUUUGAUAUUAACGUUGAGGGAGGUCAGAAAAGGGGCAGCCACCGUUCCGCCUGACACCCGGAGGUCAUGGGGCCUGCAGCAAGAGUUUUUGGGAAGACCUGGGGCUGAGUACAGGGCCCCACUGGGUCACCCGCAAUUUGGCUUGCUUUUGUUUACAGUUUGUUCUAAACAUCAGAAAUGUUUGCCGCUUUAAAAAAAAAAAUUGGCAGUAACAGUUAUUAUUGCUAGCUUGAUGAACUGUGAAUACUAAUAAAAUUUUAUCUGCUUUAAUGGGA